CAGCAGCCGCGGGAAUACGGAGGGUGCAAGCGUUAAUCGGAAUUACUGGGCGUAAAGCGUGCGUAGGUGGUGGUUUAAGUCCGUUGUGAAAGCCCUGGGCUCAACCUGGGAAUUGCAGUGGAUACUGGGUCACUAGAGUGUGGUAGAGGAUAGUGGAAUUUCCGGUGUAGCAGUGAAAUGCGUAGAGAUCGGAAGGAACAUCUGUGGCGAAGGCGACUAUCUGGGCCAACACUGACACUGAGGCACGAAAGCGUGGGGAGCAAACAGGAUUAGAUACCCCCGUAGUCCCUGUCUCUUAUAC
This 301-nucleotide ribosomal RNA is filed under the name uncultured bacterium. RNAcentral's name for it is "partial 16S ribosomal RNA". It matches the Rfam family "Bacterial small subunit ribosomal RNA", at positions 509 to 807 of the family's 1533-position model. The record is from RNAcentral.